Molecule: long non-coding RNA, 2276 nt
Organism: Sapajus apella (tufted capuchin)
Lineage: Eukaryota; Metazoa; Chordata; Mammalia; Primates; Cebidae
Exons: 2
Source: RefSeq, a predicted model, not a curated record
CGGUAUCCAAGACUGGCUCCCGGGAAGCAGCCGCAGCCGGGAGAGAGACGGAAAGGCAGAGAGGAAGCACCUUAUUACCGCUCUCUCGGCCGUCUUCUCGUUGAGAUCCCGGGCCCAGAGAAGCGAAGCGGGACUUUGUCGAAAUAUGGGGGGAAGAACUGGGAGCCUCUGGCCCCCUUGGCGCCGCGGUGGAGUCCGACCCGGCGAGCCUCUGCGUAACGUCAGCGCGCUGGGUAAUUUACCUUCCCUGGGCGUCUGUCAAUAUGACUAAUUUCCACAGGGGUCAAAAAGCCUUUCUCCGGCAGUCCAUCUUGGAACGCUCUCUUACGCAGUAGACGGGGUUGGUUGUUUUGUUUCCAGCCCUAGAAAUAAAUACUCUUGGGGCGUCCCUGCCAGGGCAGCCUGAGAGGAGCAGAGGAAUAUACACGGUGUCAAUUAAAGUCAGUUUUCCUUGAACUAUGAACUGUGAUUGGGCGUAAACGAGAGCGACCUGCUUGCCUGUUAAUACACAUUACCUAACUCGUCCUUGAUACCAAUGCUUUCUUUAGAAACAGAAAAUCAAAAAGGAGGAAAAUAAUCAUUGCUCCAGUUCUUCUCUGCCGCUUGCAGAUGCCUAUUGAAAUAUUUGCUCUGCAUUUCAGUGUGUAACUUAAACGUAGAGGAUGUGCGCGUGUCUUGCUAAUCUGACCUAGACAAACAGUAAAUAUAUUAUCCGGGUGGUGUUUUACAAUAAUUUUUAAACUGCUGCCAACUUGUAAGUGUGAAUCAGAGCUGUGGAGUUAAUUAAACAUUCUCUGGGACGCCCCAGAAGCGGCUAAUUGAUGCUGGUAGCAUAACCCAGACACACUUUGAGGAGUGCGCGGACCGAAGCCUGCGUGGCUAGCGGGUCAGGACGAUUCUGUCUGCACAGUCCUCUCUUGUAUGCAGCAGGGAGUGGGGAGAUGAAGAGCACUGGCCCCUGAGGGCACCCAGUUGGGUCCCUUGGGUCUUGGAGGAGGUAAACCUCUCCAAUCUGGGGAAUUAGUGCCCAGCGAAAAGUGAAAGUCGCCAAAUAACUCAUUUUUCUCCCACCCAAGUUCAGGCACUGAGGCCCCAACUAAUAUAAUUCUCCGAGUUAAAUUUUUAACAAACCCUCUGGAAAAAACACGUCCCCACCCCACUUCUAAAGCAAGUAAAUGCCUGGAUUUGGAGCAAUUCGGUGCCUCAGGGAAACCCAAGGGAAACCUAAGAGCUAAGAUAACCAAGCAGAAGCCUAGGAAGCCUCACAGAGGGCCGUCUGAACUCGUGGUCCCUGGCUGCUGCCGGCGCACGUGAGUGACACACAGCCCCACCACCUCCCCCCACAGCCCGACCUCCUUACCUGCUCUGCCAUUCUGGCCACAUGCAAGCAAGCAAGCAAGCAAGCGCGCACACACACACACACACCCUUCUUUCCCUCUCUCAUCUGUUAGUGCAUUUAUGACCUAAUGAAAGUAUAUCCUUUAGGGAAAAGACUGUCUAUAAAACUUGAAAUAUGAAGAACCCAUUUGGAUAUUCCCACUCCAGGCCAGGCCUGAACUUGAAGUUUUUUAGCACAAACACCUUGACUCCUUCUGUUGCUUCUAUAAUCACCCUGUUAUUUUUACUAAACGAUGAGAAUUGGUUCUAAGUGACCUCUGCUCAUUUCCUGUGGAAGGAGAAAAGUCUCCAACCUGAGAAUAUAUCUUUAUUUGUUGGAAGGCAUUCUUUUUUGUUGGAAGGCAUUCAUUUGUUGGAGGGAAUUAAUUUUACUUUCUAUUCCUUGUCAUCUUGGAAAAACCCUGACACCACAUGUUCCAACUUCUGCUAACAGCUGGGGAAACCAAGGACUCUUUCAACUCCCUUCCAUUUCCUUCCUGCCCCACCAUUCCCCCCAGUUGCCACCUUUUUGGGUUUUACAAAUGUUGAUCCAUUCUUUCUGCUUGUCGCUUUGUGAAAUACCUAUGAGUUUCCAACAUAAAUGAGUGCCCUUUGGAAAUCCUACUGUUAACCAUCCGCCUUUGUGGGAAAAGGCAAUCUGAUUUUGUGUUUUGGGGCGGGUCUGUUUAUUGCCACAUAUGAAUAGAACAGAUAUUAUUUCCCUGUGAUUUUAUAUAUAGCAUACCUUUAAAUAAGACUAUUAAGUCUCUUCUAUUUUGCAAUUUGACCUUCGCUGUAAGAGUGCUUUAAGUUGUUUAUUAGCUGGGACUAUGCAACAGGAAAAGCUGCAGGAGAAAUAAACAAAAGAAUGAGCUGAAGAGCUCUGUCCUUUGGUGGAA